Molecule: ribosomal RNA, 272 nt
Filed under: uncultured archaeon
Lineage: Archaea
Description: partial 16S ribosomal RNA
Rfam family: Archaeal small subunit ribosomal RNA
Source: RNAcentral
CAGCGUCACAAGUGGGAACCACAUUUAUUGGGCCUAAAGCGUCCGUAGCUGGUCGUGCAGAUUCUUUGUGAAAUUGUUAAUGUCAACUUAACAGCGUGCAAAGAACACCUGUAUGACUUGGGACUGGGAGGAGUCAGAGGUAUUCCAGGGGAAGCGGUAAAAUGUUAUAAUCCCUGGAGGACCACCGAUGGCGAAGGCAUCUGACUAGAACAGGUCCGACAGUGAGGGACGAAAGCCAGGGGAUCAAACCGGAUUAGAUACCCGAGUAGUCC